GAGUUUGAUCAUGGCUCAGAUUGAACGCUGGCGGCAUGCUUUACACAUGCAAGUCGAACGGCAGCACGAGUGCUUGCACUUGGUGGCGAGUGGCGAACGGGUGAGUAAUGCAUUGGAACGUGCCUUGUAUUGGGGGAUAACUGAGCGAAAGCUUAGCUAAUACCGCAUACGCCCUGAUGGGGAAAGCUGGGGAUCGUUUGACCUGGCGAUAUAAGAGCGGCCAAUGUCUGAUUAGCUAGUUGGUGAGGUAAAGGCUUACCAAGGCGACGAUCAGUAGCGGGUCUGAGAGGAUGAUCCGCCACACUGGGACUGAGAGACGGCCCAGACUCCUACGGGAGGCAGCAGUGGGGAAUUUUGGACAAUGGGGGGAACCCUGAUCCAGCCAUGCCGCGUGUCUGAAGAAGGCCUUCGGGUUGUAAAGGACUUUUGUUGGGGAGCAAAGGUAUCUGGUUAAGAGCUGGAGAUUA
This 467-nucleotide ribosomal RNA is filed under the name Aquaspirillum sp. canine oral taxon 091. Its description in RNAcentral is "bacterial SSU rRNA". It matches the Rfam family "Bacterial small subunit ribosomal RNA", at positions 9 to 477 of the family's 1533-position model. The record is from RNAcentral. Lineage: Bacteria; Pseudomonadati; Pseudomonadota; Betaproteobacteria; Neisseriales; Aquaspirillaceae.